Long non-coding RNA from Aethalodelphis obliquidens (Pacific white-sided dolphin), 1262 nucleotides. RefSeq lists it as uncharacterized. The transcript is spliced from 3 exons. The record is from RefSeq and is a predicted model, not a curated record. NCBI's taxonomy places the organism in Eukaryota, Metazoa, Chordata, Mammalia, Artiodactyla, Delphinidae.
AGAAAAUGCUUUGUAAGGUUUUAAAAUCUAUAAAAAAUGUUCUUUGUUAUUAUUUGAUUUGUUGCUAUUUCACCUUUAGCUGACAGUUGUUUGUGACCUUGCUUAUGUGAGAAAAUGCCUUCUGGUUUAUUGUUUUGAAAGCCAGAUGAUAUUUUUCAGUAGCUCAAUGGAAAUGGCAUCAUUUGUGAAGUUGAAGGGUGAAGGCAUAAAUGUUUCUUGACAUUUGAAUCAACUAUUGGUCUUCUGGGGCUUGUCCUUAUUCUCCUGCAGUCUCUAAUCAACAUGGCAUCCAGAGAGAUCCUGUUAAAACAUAAGUCAGGUCAUGUCACUCAAGUCUCUUCAAUGGCUUCUUCACAGGAAAAGCAAAGUCCUCAAAGUGCCUCCACAGCCCUAGAAAUCUGGGCCUCUGUUUCCUCUCUGACUGUUUCCUUCUCCUCUCCACUUUGCUCCCUCUGUUUUCCACACACUGACAUCCUUUCUGCUCCUUGGAUACUCCAAGCCCACUCUUGCCUCAUUGCCUUUCCAUCUGACUGUUCCCUCUGCUUGUACUAUUCACUUCCCAGAUAUGCACCUUGCUCCCUCUCACAACCUUGGGUUCCCUCGUAAAUUUUAUCUUCCCCAGAAAGCCCUCAGUGAUCACUUAGUUUCCGAUCGCAGCCUCCUCCUACCAGCUAACAAUCUCCAUCCCCCUUCCCUGCUUGCUGUUUUUCUCCAGCACUUACCUGAUAUACUGGUUAUUCUACCCAUUUAUUCAAUUUUUAUUUACGUAUUUACACUUAUGAUUUUAUAUUUGCUUCUUUACUUUUGUCUCUCCCCUCAGCUCGAGAGAGGCUAUAUUCAUCUGUGUUAAUCACUGCUGUGUUUCCUGAACAUGCCUAGAAAACAUCCUGAAGAAGGGUGCCUGAAAUUUGGAAUGACUGGCCAUAGGACUGGGCGUCGUAGCUUCCUGCCAGGCGGCCGAAGGUCGCAGGCAGGCUCUCUAGAAAGCAUGUGCAGAGCCUCCCACCCCACCCUCGGACUCCGCGGGCCACAGCUGGAGGGACCAGCCAAGGAACCGUGGCAGGAAGAGGCCAGAGGUCAGCGGGCCUCGGCCAGAGCCCGUCAGUCGGUCCCCAUUCACACACCACCAGACGAUCCUCUUGACCUGGGCAGUAGCCGCCAACCGACCGCUGAGGUGAGCCCGGUGCGCGCUUGGCUACCUGGCAUGGCUGGGAACCCCAGGAUCUCCUGGCAGAGGCGGGCAUUCUCCUGGGCCGGGUCCG